UACAGAGGUGGCAAGCGUUGUUCGGAAUUACUGGGCGUAAAGGGCGCGUAGGCGGCCUCCUAAGUCAGACGUGAAAUCCCCCGGCUUAACCUGGGAACUGCGUCUGAUACUGGGAGGCUAGAGUGCGGGAGAGGGAUGCGGAAUUCCAGGUGUAGCGGUGAAAUGCGUAGAUAUCUGGAGGAACACCGGUGGCGAAGGCGGCAUCCUGGACCGACACUGACGCUGAGGAGCGAAAGCGUGGGGAGCGAACAGG
Molecule: ribosomal RNA, 253 nt
Filed under: uncultured bacterium
Lineage: Bacteria
Description: partial 16S ribosomal RNA
Rfam family: Bacterial small subunit ribosomal RNA
Source: RNAcentral